AACGAACGCUGGCGGCAGGCUUAACACAUGCAAGUCGAGCGCCCCGCAAGGGGAGCGGCAGACGGGUGAGUAACGCGUGGGAACGUACCUUUUGGUUCGGAACAACUCCGGGAAACUGGAGCUAAUACCGGAUAAGCCCUAACGGGGAAAGAUUUAUCGCCGAAAGAUCGGCCCGCGUCUGAUUAGCUAGUUGGUGAGGUAACAGCUCACCAAGGCGACGAUCAGUAGCUGGUCUGAGAGGAUGAUCAGCCACACUGGGACUGAGACACGGCCCAGACUCCGACGGGAGGCAGCAGUGGGGAAUAUUGGACAAUGGGCGCAAGCCUGAUCCAGCCAUGCCGCGUGAGUGAUGAAGGCCUUAGGGUUGUAAAGCUCUUUUGUCCGGGAAGAUAAUGACUGUACCGGAAGAAUAAGCCCCGGCUAACUUCGUG
This 431-nucleotide ribosomal RNA is filed under the name uncultured bacterium. RNAcentral describes it as "partial 16S ribosomal RNA". It matches the Rfam family "Bacterial small subunit ribosomal RNA", at positions 29 to 507 of the family's 1533-position model. The record is from RNAcentral.